RNAcentral lists this non-coding RNA (23 nucleotides) under Arabidopsis thaliana (thale cress). The record is from RNAcentral. Lineage: Eukaryota; Viridiplantae; Streptophyta; Magnoliopsida; Brassicales; Brassicaceae.
ACCAAGCUAGCUGACGCGCUCAC